RNAcentral lists this ribosomal RNA (318 nucleotides) under uncultured Pseudomonadota bacterium. RNAcentral describes it as "bacterial SSU rRNA". It matches the Rfam family "Bacterial small subunit ribosomal RNA", at positions 30 to 351 of the family's 1533-position model. The record is from RNAcentral. Lineage: Bacteria; Pseudomonadati; Pseudomonadota.
AUUGAACGCUGGCGGUAUGCUUAACACAUGCAAGUCGAACGGUAGCAGGCCUUCGGGCGCUGACGAGUGGCGGACGGGUGAGUAACGCGUAGGAAUCUGCCUCAUAGUGGGGGAUAACCCGGGGAAACUCGGGCUAAUACCGCAUACGCUCUACGGAGGAAAGCGGGGGAUCUUCGGACCUCGCGCUAUUAGAUGAGCCUGCGUCCGAUUAGCUAGUUGGCGGGUAAAGGCCCACCAAGGCGACGAUCGGUAGCUGGUCUGAGAGGACGAUCAGCCACACUGGAACUGAGACACGGUCCAGACUCCUACGGGAGGCUG